AUUGAACGCUGGCGGCAGGCUUAACACAUGCAAGUCGAGCGGGGUGAUGGUGCUUGCACUAUCACUUAGCGGCGGACGGGUGAGUAAUGCUUAGGAAUCUGCCUAUUAGUGGGGGACAACAUCUCGAAAGGGGUGCUAAUACCGCAUACGUCCUACGGGAGAAAGCAGGGGAUCUUUAUGACCUUGCGCUAAUAGAUGAGCCUAAGUCGGAUUAGCUAGUUGGUGGGUAAAGGCCUACCAAGGCGACGAUCUGUAGCGGGUCUGAGAGGAUGAUCCGCCACACUGGGACUGAGACACGGCCCAGACUCCUACGGAGGCAGCAGUGGGGAAUAUUGGACAAUGGGGGGAACCCUGAUCCAGCCAUGCCGCGUGUGUGAAGAAGGCCUUAUGGUUGUAAAGCACUUUAAGCGAGGAGGAGGCUCUUUUGGUUAAUACCCAGAAUGAGUGGACGUUACUCGCAGAAUAAGCACCGGCUAACUCUGUGCCAGCCGCCGCCGUAA
Molecule: ribosomal RNA, 500 nt
Filed under: uncultured bacterium
Lineage: Bacteria
Description: partial 16S ribosomal RNA
Rfam family: Bacterial small subunit ribosomal RNA
Source: RNAcentral